CUCUCGCUUUCUCUAUCUCUCUCUCCCGCUGCUUCCUUGGUUUAGUGUUGCCUGUGUUGUGCCCGAAAGCAGUGUUGUAUAUUUUAUUGCGCUGUGCCCGUAAUCAUUGAGUGACCGCCCUGUGCGUGUGUUGACGCGUCAGGAAGGGAGUGUUGCGUCUCCAGGCACCUCCCACCUCACGCCUUGCUUCCUCCCGUCUCCCAGAGUCUACACACCUGCACUCUUGAGGAGGGUCUUCCCCUUCCGAGUGGCGUCCGCGCUUGCUUCCUUCGUCUGGUAGGUUUGCUCUUCUUCAGGGACGCUCGUCUACACCUUCCUUCUUCAGGAGCGUCUGUCUUGUGCUCAUCAAACCACUGGUGACACAGCAGCAGCAGCAGCAGCAGCAGCAGGAAAAGAAGGAGGAGCAGGGGAGGAGCAGGGGGAACAGGAGGAGGAGGAGGAGGAGGAGGAGGAGGAGGAGGAGGAGGAGCAGGAGGAGGAGAGGAGCAGGAGAAACAGAAGAAGGAGGAGGAAGAGGAGGUGGAGGAGGAUUAAGAACGGAAGGAAUAAGAGGAAAUAAAAAAAAAUGGAGGAAAUGUGAGAGAGAGAGAGACAGAGAGAAAGAGAGAGAGAGAGAGAGAGAGAGAGAGAGAGAGAGAGAGAGAGAGAGAGAGAGAGAGAGAGAGAGAGAGAGAGAGAGAGAGAGAGAGAGAGAGAGAUAAUGUUAUCGGUAUUUUUUUAUUUUCUGUCUUUCUUCUUUCUCCUCCUCAUUUCCUUCUUUUUCCAACUAUUUCUCUUCCAACUCAUACUCCUUCCUCCUCCUCCUCCUCCUCCUGCUCCUCCUUCUCUUCCUCUUCUCUCUCUCUCUCUCUCUCUCUCUCUCUCUCUCUCUCUCUCUCUCUCUCUCUCUCUCUCUCUCUCUCUCUCUCUCUCUCCUCUUCUUCCUUUCCAUCUUUUUCCUACUGUUUUUCCCUCUCCUCCUCCUCCUCCUGCUCUUUGUUUGCCUCUCUUGAUGGCCAUCUGUCUCCUCCUCUUGAUCUUCCUUUUCCUUUUCCUCGUCCUACGUCCUACUUCUCCUCUUCCUCCUUUUCUUUCUCCACGUCCUACUCUUCCUUUGCUUCAUCUUCUUCCUCUUACUCCUCCUCCUCUUCCUCCUUUUCCUUCUCCUCGUCCUACUCCUCCUCCUCCUCCUACUCCUCUUUCUCCUCUUUCUCCUACUUCUCCUUUUCGUUAUUCUUCUCGUCUUCUCCUCCUCCUCUCUCACUUCUUUCUGCUUCCCCACUCUCUUUCUUUCUCAUUUGUGUGUGUGUGUGUGUGUGUGAGAGAGAGAGAGAGAGAGAGAGAGAGAGAGAGAGAGAGAGAGAGAGAGAGAGAGAGAGAGAGAGAGAGAGAGAGAGAUAAGUAUGGGCUAAUAUUUACUGUGCAAUAGGUGUCUUCAACAUGAGAGAGAGAAAUGAGAGCAGGUACGGCUGGCAGCGAGGGGGCGCGCGGCGCUUGCCUGGGAACAAAAUGGCGUCCCAUCUCCCACUUGUCGCUACUCACAAUAUUGGUGCACGAUAAGGAAAGCAGUUGGCCAAAAUAAUAAUGUCAGAAGUAAGACAAAGCUUUGAAGAAAGAACAUCUGUCAUAAAGUGUUACUGGAGGCACGAAAAUGUCAAAGAAGUGCAAAGACAAUUCAGAAGACACUUUGACAGGGAUCCACCCAGGUGACGCACCAUUGCUCGCAUCACAGCUAAAUUUGCAUCAACCAGCAGCAGCAGCAGCAGCAGCAUGUCAGUAGUAGCAGGAGUAGUGAAUGGUCACUCGUAUGUGGUGACUACUUGGACUAUCAGGCCGCCCUUGUAGUGUGCUGGACUAUUGGUCAACAAGGAGCCCUGAAAGUUACGUGGUACAACUAUUUCGGCGAUAGUAAUGGCUCUCCGUGAAAACACGAUAACGGCCAAUACCUGCCGGGGAAUCAUCCCCUUGUUGCGCCGCCGCCCGUGACGUCACCACGAAAAGAUACACAGUGCGACAGACAACACUCGUCUAACCUGGAAUGAGGCGGAGGGUGCGGCGAGGUGGUCAGCUGUGGCUGUGGCCGCCUUCAGCCCACCCGCCUGACUGCUCCUCUUUGUCACCGAGUCAUGGGAAAGUCGAGGUGUUAUAUAUAUAGUAAACGCCUCGCACCUGCGCCUCCUAAGUGCUUAAUCCUUUCACUGUCAGAUCAUUUUUCUUUUUAUCAUCUGCUACUUUAUAGGCGCUCAUUUGUGUACAGUGACUCAUCCCCAACAGUUCUUUAUUUACUUUAUUCUUUUUAGUAAUAGCUGCUGAUUGCUUGGAGCUCGGAAACUGUUAGUAGAAGUGAAUAGAUUGACAGUGAACACGUAACACACAGUGUGUCAGUCUGUGUGUAAAGACGGCUCCCUAAUUAAUGAAGCAGAUUCCCUGCCUGUAUUUCUAACAAAAGUGCCAAAAGAAAUGUUUCACGAUACACUGUAUCGUGAAACAUUUCUGCCCGCAUCCCGACUACUUUUAAUAGGCUGUAAAUGAAAUUACACGAGUUUUAAGAGUGUUUCUAUGGUUCUAGUUACAGUGGUAAGGUCUCUACAGCAUCAACAGGAGAACCAGUCUUGAAAACCCGGGUAAUUAUUUCUGUGGCCUUUGGAAAUAGUCUGGUGAGAGAGCAAAGCCUUUCAGAAUACAGGCACAUAACCUUGCUUCAUGAAAAAAAUAAGUGCAUUCAUGAUACCUAAGACUGCCUUGCUACAUUCCCCCAGUGACUGUAAUGUAUCUUUUUUUUUUUCUUAUCUUGUAGCAUUAGUCUGUCUGUCAUUGAUGAAAACACCCGCACUACAUGUAUUACGUUAUUUCAUUAGUCUCAAGUCGCUAUUUCAAGUCUAUAUAAGCCUCAAUAAAUACGAGAGCUGUGGUGGUGGUCUGCUUCCCAUCUGCCAAUCAGAGCGUUCUAUUUUUCCGUUUUCUUUCGUAUUCUUCGUAAAGCUCACGUAUCCUUCAUUUGUCAUAACUUCUUGCCUCACAGUGUAUUGGUAAGUGUCUUCUACUGGUAAUAAUAACCGUGAUUCUAUUAUUUUGUAUCAUUACAAGUAGUAUUGCGAAAGUGGCUCCGUUCUUAGUGACAAUUACCUCAGCACAGCCUUCACCAAUCAGCGCCAAGUAUUCAAGUCACGUGAUACUCUCUCCUCGCCGUCUCCUCAGCCAUUCGCCCUGCGCCCGCUGACGUGACGAGUCCCCGGUUGUGUUACGGCGGUGAAGCAGUGUUGCGUCUGUCCCUGGUGGCCAUGCUGUGGUGGACAGCGGUGUGGAGGGAGAGGUGGAUGCCUUCUCUCCCCUUCCCUUCCUCCCCGCUCCCUUCCUAGCCUGCCCGCCACCCUCUCCCCGCUUUUCCCUGCCUGUCCUCCCCUGCUCCUCGUGUCCCAGGUGACCCAUGAACUACCUCUAACAAUGGUGAUGAAGAACCAGAAGUGGGUUGGUAGGUGACGAGAUAACUAUCCCAAGUCAUCCCGGAAGUGGCGAGGUGACCCCAUACAGCUCCACAAGGUCGUGGAGGACACCAGACAUAGCCACGUGGUCGCCUACACUCAGCCAUCCACCUCACCUGCCCCAGACUGCUACCCGGACACCAUCCAGCCACAAGAACCCAGAUAAGCACUUCUGGGGUCCUUGGUUGUGGUUAGCUAGCUAGUUUGUUUAGGGAUCACUUGCUGUAGAUAGGAACCCUCCUCGGUCUGAUGCUAUUUUUUUUAUUUUUUAUUUUUGAGGUGUAACGCUGUCCUCUACGUGAGAGUGAUAGUAUUUAUCUUUAUUUACUUAUUUUAUUUUUUUUUCCUGAAGACCAGUUCUGAGGUUAUCUUGGAGGUUAACGGAGAAGAGCUCUUCACACCUGUGUUUGUUGUUUUAUUUUAUUUUUUUUAUUGGUCACUUUUUGUUUUUUGUUGUGAUUAUUAUUAAUUUUAUUUACUUGUAUUGAAAUAUGUGAGUGUGAAUGCAGCACAAUAUAUAAAGGUGUGCAUUCCAGAGUGAAAGGAAGGCGUGCCUAUUUAAUCACCAGAUUUUGAUUGAUUGAAGCAAAUGAAAACUUUGGUGUGAGUACCUUACAAAGACACUUGGCAAUACUAAUGUCACCUCACCUCGUGGUUUCACCUUAAACCUACAAACAUUGGCUGGACACAAGGUCAUAGAAAUAUUUUAUUCUCAUUUAUUCUCAUCUUUACAAAUUACAGUCUUUACACAUCAAAGUAACUAAUCACCUUUAUUCAUCCACUUGAGGGGGUUGAAGGAUCGCUAAUCCCAUUUUAAAUUGCCUGUGUUCAACUCGCCUCUCCUCCCUCAUUUAUUGACCAAUUCAUUUAAAAAAUAUUUUGAUCAGGAAGGUUGCAAGAAGAAUGUCUGCUAUCUUUUUUUUUUUGUACGAUAAGUUUUUUUUUUCAAUGAAAAAGAAAAAGAAAACUCUGUCAAAUAUUUACUUUCAAAUAUUUGUCAGAAAUCAAAAUCAGUUACAAACAAAAAUGACGACAGCAGACUUUGUUCGCCUCUCACAGCUUGAUAAGCCGCAAUGGCCCAUCUGUGUGUAACACCAAUAACAACGGAGAUCAUUUUUAUAUGCCAAAAUCCGCCAUUUUAAGUUAUGUCAAAGUUUAAGGGGUUACUAUAAUACACCUAUUGCAGCUAAGGACUUGAAAUUCACAUGAUAUAUACAUCACAAUAUGUUGAAAAACAGAUAUAGAUUAAUUUAGUUACUACGAUUGGUUUUGUACAUAGGCCUAAAGUAAUUCAUGAUUUCACCCUUAAUUACCCGGGGGGGGAGGGGGGAAGGCGGGUGAAAACAAUUUUUUGUUAUAUUUCGACUUUUAGAUCAAAACCAGUGUUUAACUGUUUGAAAUAAAUAAAAUAUUAAUGCAAAAGAUAUCUAAUGCAGACACAUUGACUAUUUCCUAGAUUUACGGAAAAAUAUUUAUCUUAUUUUUCGUAUAUAAAUUUGAAAAAAAUAGUUAGACCUAAAAUUACGUACUCUCUAAUGUUGUACGCAGCAAAAGAACCGUACAUAUUCAUAGGAGACUGAAGAAGAACGGGUACGCCAGAAAGAAAAAAAAAAAAAAAGUCAUGUCUCGCAGCGGGCGAAACCGUGAAAUUUCAUAACAGAUGACCUCAUUACAUUAGGGGAUAUAUAUAUAUAUAUAUAUAUAUAUAUAUAUAUAUAUAUAUAUAUAUAUAUAUAUAUAUAUAUAUAUAUAUAUAUAUAUAUAUAUAUAUAUAUAUAUAUAUAUAAAAACAUUACAUAUAUAAAAAAUGGGACAAGAUACAGAUAUGAGACUGUGAUCGGAGGAGCCCAACGGAGAAGAAAGGGUGACAGCAUAAGCAGAAGGAUUAGAGGUCAGGAAAAGGUCAAGAAUGUUGGGCCUAUCUUCAAGACGUCAGGAAUACGAGUAAGGUGUUGCACCAAUUGCUUUAGGUCGUGGAGAAUAGCAAAGUCUAAGGCUAGUUUACCAGGAUGGUCAGUGACGGGAGAGGAAAGCCAAAGUUGGUGGUGAACAUUGAAGUCAGUCUCCAAGAAUUAAGAUCUCUGCAAAAGGGAAGAGAGUCAAUGUGCUCCACUUUGGAAGUUAAGUAGUCAAAGAAUUUUUCAUAGUCAGAAGAGUUAUUUGAGAGGUAUACAGCACAGAUAAAUUUAGUUUGAGUGUGACUCUGUUGUCGUACCCAGGUGGUGGAAAACUCAGAAGAUUCAAGAGAGUGGAAAGCAGGUUAAGUCAUUGCGCACAUGAACACAGCAUCCAGCUUUGGAUCGAAAAUGAGGAUAGAGAAAGUGGGAGGAAACAGAAAAGGGGCUACUAUCAGUUGCCUCAGACAUCUGAGUUUUAGUGACGAAAGGAUGAUGAAGCUUAAUAGAGGAGAGGCAGUGUUCUACAGAUUGAACGCGAAUGUUGCAGAAGUUUAUGAAGAAAAACUGAGAGGGGUAUCAAGACAUUUAGGGUCGUUACCAGAAGAGCAGUCUGACCCGGGGACAAUUGUGGUCCGCUCACCAGAUGGGGUCUCCGAGGCUGGUGUAGGAGUAUGUGUGUAAUAAUUAGGUGCUGGUAGUUGUUUUGUGUGCAGGAAGAGAGAUAUCUCCAUGACUAUAACGUUUGGUACGAUUGAAAACAUCCUUUGAUUUCCACAGAUAUGUACACACACUAGUAACAGUUUUCAACUGUAGCACCAGAAACAGUCUUCCUCACACGAACCGUUUCACUGCCGGGACUUGAAGGCUGAUGAAGCAGUGCGGCGGAGGUCACGCCUCUCAGAGUGUUUAUACUUGUUGUCAACACCGCCAUAACUAAUACAAACUCUUUAGUGCAGGUAGUUAAAUAACUGCAAUCAUUGUUCCAGAUUCCUAAAUUCACAAAGUGCAUAACUCAUUCCAAGUUUUUAUUGCAGAUAAUUAAAGUUUUAGUGAAAUAAUUAUUCCUAUUCCUAAUGUUGUGUGGUGCAUUAUCUCAGACAGGCCCACUGGAAGCUGUCAGAGUGCUGUGGCACGUGGCAAGAACCAAGUGUUCAGGAGCACACACUGUCCCUUCACCAGUCAGCAGAUCUGGGCGGCUUGGGAGCCUCACUACAAACUGAAGACCCGUUCACUUGAAGGAUAGUUGGAGUCGGACACAAGAUCCAAGAGGGAGUUAUUUUUAAACGAGAGCUUCAGGCAGAAAAUUCGAGUGGAUUUUCAACUCUAAAAAUAACUUUUUUGGGGGGAUAUUUUGAACCUUCUUUAUCUUGAAAAAUAACUCCAGAUAUUAUGACUCUAGCUGGAAGUUGACCUGAGCAAUGUAGGGUUUGCUGCAGUGAGAUUACCAAGGCACGAGUGUCUGGGAUUUAAAGAUGAUGGAUAUGUGUCCUGUGUGCUGCUGUGCUGGGAGGAGAGGAGCAGCAGCAGUCGUGGGGCUCUGUUGCUGCUGUCACUGGUGCAGCUGUUCACUCCUGCAGCUACCUUCCCUCAACAUACUGUGUCUUCCCUCACCUGCAAUGAACAACUAUGAACAAUACUUCUCCUGCGAUGAGGAACAGUGAAUAACCUCUCUCUCUCUCUCUCUCUCUCUCUCUCUCUCUCUCUCUCUCUCUCUCUCUCUCUCUCUCUCUCUCUCUCUCUCUCUCUCCACAGUAUGUCCCCCACAGUAUGUUUACAAACCCACAGUGACUCUCCACAGCCCCUCACCAACAAUUGUCUCCUUCACACACACACACACAAAUGUUAGAAUCUUGUAGUGUCUACAACAAGGAAUGGAACCGAAAUCGACAAGCCAAAUUUUCUUCCAGCCUGCGUGAGUGUAGUGAGGCUCAAUGUGUGUGUACAAGUGAAGAAUAUAUAUUAAAUGCUUGACUCAAAAAUAUGAGGCUUACACAAAAAUACAGGACACAACUUGAGUGUGGUGAGUCAAAGGUGAGUCAAAAUGUUCAACUUUGAAUUAACUUACAACAAAAACUAACUAAAUAAAACACACUAUAAAGAAAUAAUCUCAUCAAUUAACACUGAAAAAAAAAAAUAUAUACACCAACACAAAAUAAAUAAAUCAAUCAAUAAAUGAAGACUAAAUAAAGCAAAUUAAUCUGAACGCUAGUCGUAUAUUUUUAAACACUACGGUGAAGAAAGAUAAUGAAGCUUAAAUAAACAUUGAGAGAGAAAGAGAAAUUUGUGGUCUUCCUAAAUCUCUCUCUCUCUCUCUCUCUCUCUCUCUCUCUCUCUCUCUCUCUCUCUCUCUC
Scylla paramamosain (green mud crab) is the source of this 7710-nucleotide long non-coding RNA. RefSeq lists it as uncharacterized. The transcript has 9 exons. The record is from RefSeq and is a predicted model, not a curated record. NCBI's taxonomy places the organism in Eukaryota, Metazoa, Arthropoda, Malacostraca, Decapoda, Portunidae.